AGAGUUUGAWUCAUGGCUCAGGACGAACGCUGGCGGCGUGCCUAAUACAUGCAAGUCGUACGCUUCUUUUUCCACCGGAGCUUGCUCCACCGGAAAAAGARGAGUGGCGAACGGGUGAGUAACACGUGGGUAACCUGCCCAUCAGAAGGGGAUAACACUUGGAAACAGGUGCUAAUACCGUAUAACAAUCGAAAACCGCAUGGUUUUGAUUUGAAAGGCGCUUUCGGGUGUCGCUGAUGGAUGGACCCGCGGUGCAUUAGCUAGUUGGUGAGGUAACGGCUCACCAAGGCCACGAUGCAUAGCCGACCUGAGAGGGUGAUCGGCCACAUUGGGACUGAGACACGGCCCAAACUCCUACGGGAGGCAGCAGUAGGGAAUCUUCGGCAAUGGACGAAAGUCUGACCGAGCAACGCCGCGUGAGUGAAGAAGGUUUUCGGAUCGUAAAACUCUGUUGUUAGAGAAGAACAAGGAUGAGAGUAACUGUUCAUCCCUUGACGGUAUCUAACCAGAAAGCCACGGCUAACUACGUGCCAGCAGCCGCGGUAAUACGUAGGUGGCAAGCGUUGUCCGGAUUUAUUGGGCGUAAAGCGAGCGCAGGCGGUUUCUUAAGUCUGAUGUGAAAGCCCCCGGCUCAACCGGGGAGGGUCAUUGGAAACUGGGAGACUUGAGUGCAGAAGAGGAGAGUGGAAUUCCAUGUGUAGCGGUGAAAUGCGUAGAUAUAUGGAGGAACACCAGUGGCGAAGGCGGCUCUCUGGUCUGUAACUGACGCUGAGGCUCGAAAGCGUGGGGAGCAAACAGGAUUAGAUACCCUGGUAGUCCACGCCGUAAACGAUGAGWRMUAAGUGUUGGAGGGUUUCCGCCCUUCAGUGCUGCAGCUAACGCAUUAAGGCAYGCCSGGCSSKKA
RNAcentral lists this ribosomal RNA (904 nucleotides) under Enterococcus durans. RNAcentral describes it as "bacterial SSU rRNA". The record is from RNAcentral. Lineage: Bacteria; Bacillati; Bacillota; Bacilli; Lactobacillales; Enterococcaceae.